This 774-nucleotide ribosomal RNA is filed under the name uncultured Neocallimastigales. Its description in RNAcentral is "partial large subunit ribosomal RNA". It matches the Rfam family "Eukaryotic large subunit ribosomal RNA", at positions 23 to 646 of the family's 3401-position model. The record is from RNAcentral. Lineage: Eukaryota; Fungi; Neocallimastigomycota; Neocallimastigomycetes; Neocallimastigales.
AGAGAGAGACAUGCGCGCAUAUCAAUAAGCGGAGGAAAAGAAACUAACAAGGAUUCCCCUAGUAACGGCGAGUGAAGCGGGAAGAGCUCAAAUUUGAAAUCUUAAAGGGUUUCCCUUUACGAAUUGUAGUUUAAAGAAGUGUUUUCUGUUGAGGUUUUGGUAAAAGUUCUUUGGAAUAGGACAUCAUAGAGGGUGAGAAUCCCGUAUUUGACCUUUACUUUCAACUUUGUGAUACACUUUCAAAGAGUCGGAUUGUUUGGGAAUGCAGUCCAAAAUGGGUGGUAAAUUUCAUCUAAAGCUAAAUAUUGGCGAGAGACCGAUAGCGAACAAGUACCGUGAGGGAAAGAUGAAAAGAACUUUGAAAAGAGAGUUAAACAGUACGUGAAAUUGUCAAAAGGGAAGCGUUUGACACCAGUGUUGUUUUUCUGAAAAUCAAUUAAAGAACUGUUUAUGCUAAGUUGUUUAGACUUUAUCAGCUAACUGUUUAGUUUUGAGCUUUUCUUUAAUGCACUUUUCAGUUAACAAGUCAACAUCAAUUUCUUUUGCUGUAAAAAAGCUUGAGGAAGGUGGCUUGAGAUUCGUCUUAAGUGUUUAUAGCCUCUUGCCUAUGCAGUCGGAGAGAUUGAGGUCUGCAGCGUAGAUCCUUCGGGGCUAAAUGCAUUUGUGCUAAGUUAUAACAUUUUAUAGACAACUUGUUGACUAUGAUUUGUCUUGUAGCUUACUCGCUUAUGUUAUUUUACCUACGCUUAGGAUGUUGACGCAUGAGAUAUACGC